UACGUAGGGUGCGAGCGUUAAUCGGAAUUACUGGGCGUAAAGCGUGCGCAGGCGGCUUUGCAAGACAGAUGUGAAAUCCCCGGGCUUAACCUGGGAACUGCAUUUGUGACUGCAUGGCUGGAGUGCGGCAGAGGGGGAUGGAAUUCCGCGUGUAGCAGUGAAAUGCGCAGAUAUCAGGAGGAACACCAGCGGCGAAGGCGCCGCUCUGGGCCGUAACUGACGCUGAGGAGCGAAAGCAUGGGUAGCAAACAGG
Molecule: ribosomal RNA, 253 nt
Filed under: uncultured bacterium
Lineage: Bacteria
Description: partial 16S ribosomal RNA
Rfam family: Bacterial small subunit ribosomal RNA
Source: RNAcentral